Molecule: non-coding RNA, 88 nt
Organism: Stereum hirsutum FP-91666 SS1
Lineage: Eukaryota; Fungi; Basidiomycota; Agaricomycetes; Russulales; Stereaceae
Source: the annotation of a RefSeq genome assembly
AGGUCCAUAGUGUACUUGGUAGCACGCUCGGCAUACAUAUGUGAAAGUAAUGCACACGAUUGUGUCGGUUCAAGCCCGUCUGGGCUUA